This 421-nucleotide long non-coding RNA is filed under the name Vigna radiata. RNAcentral describes it as "long non-coding RNA (VRAD_LNC008583)". Lineage: Eukaryota; Viridiplantae; Streptophyta; Magnoliopsida; Fabales; Fabaceae. The record is from RNAcentral.
UUGGGAGAAAUGGGAUUGAUUUCGGGAGUGAGAUCCAGUGACUAAGCUAGCAGCUAAGAAAGUGAAAUGAAUGAAGAUAUUGUAGAGAGGGUGAGAGAAAAAUAGAAGAAGAUGGUAUUUAUAUGUAGAAGAAUCGAUUUGGGUGGUGAGUUGACAGUAAGAUAUCAUCUGCAAGUGUUUGAAUUAGGAGAGUAGUGUCUGUCAAACAGAGUCUAAGUUGUGAGAGAUGCAUUGGUGAGUUGAGAAUAAAAUAUCAAAAGUUUGAACACGUUGUCUUCAUUUUCUACAUUGCUUGCCCUCAAAGUUCUAUUUCCUAAAUUUUUAAUGGAUACAAGGAAUAAUGCUCAUGCAAACGGGGGUUGGAGCGUCACGUCUCCACCUUAUCAUGGUACAAUACGAAACAUUCGUGUAUGAUCACAAC